CGAUGUAGCAAUACAUUGGUGGCGACCGGCGCACGGGUGAGUAACGCGUAUGCAACCUACCUAUCAGAGGGGAAUAACCCGGCGAAAGUCGGACUAAUACCGCAUAAAACAGGGGUUCCACAUGGAAAUAUUUGUUAAAGAAUUAUCGCUGAUAGAUGGGCAUGCGUUCCAUUAGAUAGUUGGUGAGGUAACGGCUCACCAAGUCCACGAUGGAUAGGGGUUCUGAGAGGAAGGUCCCCCACACUGGUACUGAGACACGGACCAGACUCCUACGGGAGGCAGCAGUGAGGAAUAUUGGUCAAUGGGCGAGAGCCUGAACCAGCCAAGUCGCGUGAAGGAUGAAGGAUCUAUGGUUUGUAAACUUCUUUUAUAUGGGAAUAAAGUGAGGAACGUGUUCCUUUUUGUAUGUACCAUAUGAAUAAGCAUCGGCUAACUCCGUGCCAGCAGCCGCGGUAAUACGGAGGAUGCGAGCGUUAUCCGGAUUUAUUGGGUUUAAAGGGUGCGUAGGUGGUUAAUUAAGUCAGCGGUGAAAGUUUGUGGCUCAACCAUAAAAUUGCCGUUGAAACUGGUUGACUUGAGUAUAUUUGAGGUAGGCGGAAUGCGUGGUGUAGCGGUGAAAUGCAUAGAUAUCACGCAGAACUCCGAUUGCGAAGGCAGCUUACUAAACUAUAACUGACACUGAAGCACGAAAGCGUGGGGAUCAAACAGGAUUAGAUACCCUGGUAGUCCACGCAGUAAACGAUGAUUACUAGCUGUUUGCGAUACACAGUAAGCGGCACAGCGAAAGCGUUAAGUAAUCCACCUGGGGAGUACGCCGGCAACGGUGAAACUCAAAGGAAUUGACGGGGGCCCGCACAAGCGGAGGAACAUGUGGUUUAAU
Molecule: ribosomal RNA, 880 nt
Filed under: uncultured bacterium
Lineage: Bacteria
Description: bacterial SSU rRNA
Rfam family: Bacterial small subunit ribosomal RNA
Source: RNAcentral